ACUUUUCUAGUAUAAUUUAGUACUCGUGACUUCCAAUCACCUAGUUCUGGUCUUAUUCCAGAGAAAAGUA
RNAcentral lists this transfer RNA (70 nucleotides) under Dipodomys merriami (Merriam's kangaroo rat). Its description in RNAcentral is "tRNA-Gly". Lineage: Eukaryota; Metazoa; Chordata; Mammalia; Rodentia; Heteromyidae. The record is from RNAcentral.